GGAAGUUAAGCUCUUCAGCGCCGAUGGUAUUUGGGCGGAAACGCCCUGAGAGCGUAGGACGUCGCCUGGC
This 70-nucleotide ribosomal RNA is filed under the name Natribacillus halophilus. The record is from RNAcentral. Lineage: Bacteria; Bacillati; Bacillota; Bacilli; Caryophanales; Bacillaceae.